This 939-nucleotide unclassified non-coding RNA is filed under the name leaf metagenome. Its description in RNAcentral is "partial contains internal transcribed spacer 1, 5.8S ribosomal RNA, internal transcribed spacer 2, and large subunit ribosomal RNA". The record is from RNAcentral.
CGACGUUUCUUCUGAGUGGCACAAGCAAAUAAUUAAAACUUUUAACAACGGAUCUCUUGGUUCUGGCAUCGAUGAAGAACGCAGCGAAAUGCGAUAAGUAAUGUGAAUUGCAGAAUUCAGUGAAUCAUCGAAUCUUUGAACGCACAUUGCGCUCGCCAGCAUUCUGGCGAGCAUGCCUGUUCGAGCGUCAUUUCAACCCUCAAGCUCCGCUUGGUUUUGGGGCCCCACGGCYGACGUGGGCCCUUAAAGGUAGUGGCGGACCCUCCCGGAGCCUCCUUUGCGUAGUAACUAACGUYUYGCCMUGGGAUYCGGAGGGACUUCUUGCCGUUAAACCCCCMAAUUCUUYACAGGUUGACCUCGGAUCAGGUAGGAAUACCCGCUGAACUUAAGCAUAUCAAUAAGCGGAGGAAAAGAAACCAACAGGGAUUGCCYCAGUAACGGCGAGUGAAGCGGCAACAGCUCAAAUUUGAAAUCUGGCCCCAGGCCCGAGUUGUAAUUUGCAGAGGAUGCUUUUGGCGCGGUGCCUUCCGAGUUCCCUGGAACGGGACGCCAUAGAGGGUGAGAGCCCCGUACGGUUGGACACCAAGCCUUUGUAAAGCUCCUUCGACGAGUCGAGUAGUUUGGGAAUGCUGCUCUAAAUGGGAGGUACAUUUCUUCUAAAGCUAAAUAYYGGCCAGAGACCGAUAGCGCACAAGUAGAGUGAUCGAAAGAUGAAAAGCACUUUGAAAAGAGGGUUAAACAGCACGUGAAAUUGUUAAAAGGGAAGCGCUUGUGACCAGACUUGCGUCCGGUGAAUCACCCAGCUCUCGCGGCUGGGGCACUUCGCCGGCWCAGGCCAGCAUCAGCUYGCCGUCGGGGACAAAAGCUUCAGGAACGUAGCUCUUYUCGGGGAGUGUUAUAGCCUGUUGYAUAAUACCCUUCGGCGGGCUGAGGUACGCG